This 554-nucleotide ribosomal RNA is filed under the name uncultured euryarchaeote. RNAcentral describes it as "bacterial SSU rRNA". It matches the Rfam family "Archaeal small subunit ribosomal RNA", at positions 325 to 879 of the family's 1478-position model. Lineage: Archaea; Methanobacteriati; Methanobacteriota. The record is from RNAcentral.
ACGGGGUGCAGCAGGCGCGAAAACUUUACAAUGCUGGAAACAGCGAUAAGGGGACCUCGAGUGCCAGGUUACAAAUCUGGCUGUCGUGAUGCCUAAAAAGCAUUGCAUAGCAAGGGCCGGGCAAGACCGGUGCCAGCCGCCGCGGUAACACCGGCGGCUCGAGUGGUAACCGUUAUUAUUGGGUCUAAAGGGUCUGUAGCCGGCCGGAUAAGUCUCUUGGGAAAUCUGGCAGCUUAACUGUCAGGCUUUCAGGAGAUACUGUCUGGCUCGAGGCCGGGAGAGGUGAGAGGUACUUCAGGGGUAGGGGUGAAAUCUUGUAAUCCUUGAAGGACCACCAGUGGCGAAGGCGUCUCACCAGAACGGACCUGACGGCAAGGGACGAAAGCUAGGGGCACGAACCGGAUUAGAUACCCGGGUAGUCCUAGCCGUAAACGAUACUCGCUAGGUGUCGGCCACGGUGCGACCGUUGUCGGUGCCGUAGGGAAGCCGUGAAGCGAGCCACCUGGGAAGUACGGCCGCAAGGCUGAAACUUAAAGGAAUUGGCGGGGGAGCAC